RNAcentral lists this ribosomal RNA (253 nucleotides) under uncultured bacterium. RNAcentral describes it as "partial 16S ribosomal RNA". It matches the Rfam family "Bacterial small subunit ribosomal RNA", at positions 524 to 776 of the family's 1533-position model. The record is from RNAcentral.
UACAGAGGGUGCGAGCGUUGUUCGGAAUUAUUGGGCGUAAAGGGCGCGUAGGCGGUGCGGUAAGUCACCUGUGAAAUCUCCUGGCUCAACUGGGAGCUUGCAGGCGAAACUGCCGUGCUGGAGUGUGGGAGAGGUGCGUGGAAUUCCUGGUGUAGUGGUGAAAUGCGUAGAGAUCAGGAGGAACACCGGUGGCGAAGGCGGCCCACUGGGCCAGCACUGACGCUGAGGCGCGAAAGCUCGGGGAGCGAACGGG